AAUAAUAAUAAUAAUAAUAAUAAUAAUAAUAAUAAUACACAGCAUGUAGGUGUAUACCAGUAUGCAGCUACCCUAUGUACAUGUGCAUCUUAUCUUUAUUUAUGGGUGCGGCUGAAUGUGACGGAUUUGCGGCCUGCCUUGUAACACCAACCAGCGCCACCAAAACAAGACAGAUAAACAAACAAACAAACAAACGAACGAACGGAAGACACAGGCUGGGCGAUGCGUAAUGAGAGACAUGCGGGAGCGCGCGCGCGCGCGCACGAUCGAGCGGCUGGUCUAAUUCGUGAGAUCGUGACGCGUUAAUAAAAACAAAAUGGUGGAGCCGCUGCUGUAGGGGCAAACUAAACAGCCUGCACAGCCGGGCGAAAUUAGAAAGAGGUGCAAUUUAUUGCGGCCUCGUCAUAUGUGCAUCAGUGCGAGCGAUGCACGCACGCACGCGCGCGCGCGCGCAUCCCGACUUAUGCACAGACGAGCGGAAACCGGGCCUUUAGAUCAUCAUGGUCAUCCUUCCUUCCAUCCAUCCAUCCAUGCACACGCUAUCGCUAUACACACAUCCUUAAUAAAUUACACCGGGAUAAAUGCACCGCGCGUUAUUGAUGUUACCUCUCAUACAGGCACGAGGGGGUGGGGGUAUCGGGGGAGGGGGACACGGCAAGCACGCGCACCAACACCGACUCCGACACAGGUCCCUCCCUUCUUCUUCUUCUUCUUCUUCUUCUUCUUCAGUACCGGGCUCCACUAUAAACCCUCUCCUUUUAUUCCACGGCGUAAUGCGUUGUUUUUUCUCUUUUAAAGAAAUCCACCGACUGGUCACGAGCAAAACGGAAGCAAGGAAGACACCCGUGAUGUCGCCAUCGUCGCUCGCGCUCAGCAGCGGAUGAACCGAAUGACCCUGAACGGGAACGGAGAGCUACGCAGACGAGACACCAGUGGUAGAGAUGAUGGAGAUGAGGCGGGAGGAAGUAUCAGUUGUGGCAGAGGACAGACACGCAGAGAGUCCGAUUUCUCGUCUCGGGUAACCGGAGCGGGUCUAAACCGCUGGUCUGUUCUAUCUUACUGAUGACCACAAAGGCACAAUAGAGGCAAGAGGCACUACUAAAACAAUCCAGAGUGGUUCUGAAUCUUCUACAGAGUUUUGCGGCCAGGCAGAGACGUGAAGGGACUGUAUCCUGGACAGCUAGCCAGAGCUCACAUCAUUCCCUCACCACCAUGGCAGAG
Molecule: long non-coding RNA, 1221 nt
Organism: Ictalurus punctatus (channel catfish)
Lineage: Eukaryota; Metazoa; Chordata; Actinopteri; Siluriformes; Ictaluridae
Source: Ensembl